GUUUGGUUAUGAGUUAAGAAGAUGAAGUAACCAGUUGAUCGACUAUUUCGAAGACUUCAUUUCCUUUAUUUUGUCAAUGAUUAAAAUGUGUACUUGGAGAAUAUUGAUAUUGUUUUGUUGUUGGGACUAAACUAAGUCUUUUUUUGUUUAUUAUGGAUAUUGAAUAUAUGAUACUUCUUAAAACUUUAUGAAGUUACCUUUUUGUAUAUUCUCGAUUAUGUUUACUAAAAUGUGUACUUCAU
RNAcentral lists this long non-coding RNA (242 nucleotides) under Ananas comosus (pineapple). Its description in RNAcentral is "long non-coding RNA (ACOM_LNC001950)". Lineage: Eukaryota; Viridiplantae; Streptophyta; Magnoliopsida; Poales; Bromeliaceae. The record is from RNAcentral.